RNAcentral lists this ribosomal RNA (720 nucleotides) under Arthrobacter sp. Its description in RNAcentral is "bacterial SSU rRNA". It matches the Rfam family "Bacterial small subunit ribosomal RNA", at positions 114 to 845 of the family's 1533-position model. The record is from RNAcentral. Lineage: Bacteria; Bacillati; Actinomycetota; Actinomycetes; Micrococcales; Micrococcaceae.
CACGUGAGUAACCUGCCCUUGACUCUGGGAUAAGCCUGGGAAACUGGGUCUAAUACCGGAUAUGACCUUCCAUCGCAUGGUGGUUGGUGGAAAGCUUUUGUGGUUUUGGAUGGACUCGCGGCCUAUCAGCUUGUUGGUGGGGUAAUGGCCUACCAAGGCGACGACGGGUAGCCGGCCUGAGAGGGUGACCGGCCACACUGGGACUGAGACACGGCCCACACUCCUACGGGAGGCAGCAGUGGGGAAUAUUGCACAAUGGGCGCAAGCCUGAUGCACCGACGCCGCGUGAGGGAUGACGGCCUUCGGGUUGUAAACCUCUUUCACUAAGGAAUAAGCGUAAGUGACGGUACCUGCACAAGAAGCGCCGGCUAACUACGUGCCAGCAGCCGCGGUAAUACCUAGGGCGCAAGCGUUAUCCGGAAUUAUUGGGCGUAAAGAGCUCGUAGGCGGUUUGUCGCGUCUGCCGUGAAAGUCCGGGGCUCAACUCCGGAUCUGCGGUGGGUACGGGCAGACUAUAGUGAUGUAGGGGAGACUGGAAUUCCUGGUGUAGCGGUGAAAUGCGCAGAUAUCAAGAGGAACACCGAUGGCGAAGGCAGGUCUCUGGGCAUUAACUGACGCUGAGGAGCGAAAGCAUGUGGAGCGAACAGGAUUAUAUACCCUGGUAGUCCAUGCCGUAAACGUUGGGCACUACGUGUGGGGGGACAUUCCACGUUUUCCGCG